CCCAGGCCGGUCUGGAGCUCCUAAGCUCAAAUGAUCCUCCCGCCUCAGCCACCCAAAGUGCUGUGAGUACAGGUGUGAAUCACCACACCCAGUCCCAGCUGUUUUCUAAAUUUUUUGAGAGGUAGAGUCUUGCCGUAUUGCCUGGGCUGAUCUCAAACUCCUGGUCUCAAGCAUUCCUUCUGCCCGGGCCUCCCAAAGCACUAGGUUUACCAGUAGCCUGAGUCCCCCAUACCUGCUCAGGACUUCUCCGGGAGCACUCUCCUGGAAAAGUGCUGAAGUGGGAGAGUUUACAGGAGAAAGAGGAACUGAGAAAGGAAAGGGGUCUAGAAGAGAGGUUAGAAACGGGAACUUCAGUUUUCCCCUCAGGCUUUGUUUGCUGCUUCUAUAAAUAAGGGAUUUCUGAAAGAGAAGCAGGUAAAAGAAAAGGAGAAAGCCUUCAGCGAAUUUGUGAGCUGAUAGACAUGGAUUGCUUGCCUCUGUUUUGCCUGGGUUCUCGAGGAGUUUGCUGCUGUUUGAGAAUUCCCAUAGAGAAGCCCUGGCGUUGUCAGGAUAUGGCUAUGCAACGUUUCCCUUCCCCCUCUUCCCUCCACUCCUU
Molecule: long non-coding RNA, 595 nt
Organism: Sapajus apella (tufted capuchin)
Lineage: Eukaryota; Metazoa; Chordata; Mammalia; Primates; Cebidae
Exons: 2
Source: RefSeq, a predicted model, not a curated record